UACAGAGGGUGCAAGCGUUGUUCGGAAUUAUUGGGCGUAAAGGGAGUGUAGGCGGCUUGUUAAGUCUUCUGUGAAAUCUACGGGCUCAGCCUGUAACGUGCAGAGGAAACUGGCGAGCUUGAGUGUCGGAGAGGAUAGGGGAAUACCCGGUGUAGAGGUGAAAUUCGUAGAGAUCGGGUGGAACACCAGUGGCGAAGGCGCCUGUCUGGCUGACAACUGACGCUGAGACUCGAAAGCAUGGGGAGCAAACAGG
RNAcentral lists this ribosomal RNA (253 nucleotides) under uncultured bacterium. RNAcentral describes it as "partial 16S ribosomal RNA". It matches the Rfam family "Bacterial small subunit ribosomal RNA", at positions 524 to 776 of the family's 1533-position model. The record is from RNAcentral.